RNAcentral lists this non-coding RNA (29 nucleotides) under Homo sapiens (human). Lineage: Eukaryota; Metazoa; Chordata; Mammalia; Primates; Hominidae. The record is from RNAcentral.
UCUAAUUCUCAGGUCCGGCUUUAAAACAA